RNAcentral lists this small RNA (177 nucleotides) under Butyrivibrio sp. INlla14. RNAcentral describes it as "Clostridiales-1 RNA". It matches the Rfam family "Clostridiales-1 RNA". Lineage: Bacteria; Bacillati; Bacillota; Clostridia; Lachnospirales; Lachnospiraceae. The record is from RNAcentral.
CUACAAUAAGGGAUUCAAAGUCAUAAAUUUUUCAUGCUUGCAUGAAAAAAUUUAUGACCUUGAAGACCAAACAAGUAUGAGGAAAAAAGGAAUUUUUAUGAAAUAAAAAUUACGAUUUCCGAAUACUUGUAGAAUUGCGAGAGCUGUGUAGCAGCGGAGCAAUUCGUAUUAUUGUAG